RNAcentral lists this ribosomal RNA (253 nucleotides) under uncultured bacterium. RNAcentral describes it as "partial 16S ribosomal RNA". It matches the Rfam family "Bacterial small subunit ribosomal RNA", at positions 524 to 776 of the family's 1533-position model. The record is from RNAcentral.
UACGAAGGGGGCUAGCGCUGCUCGGAAUCACUGGGCGUAAAGGGCGCGUAGGCGGGCUCUUAAGUCAGGGGUGAAAGCCCAAGGCUCAACCUUGGAAUUGCCUUUGAUACUGAGGGCCUUGAGACCGGAAGAGGUCGGCGGAACUGCGAGUGUAGAGGUGAAAUUCGUAGAUAUUCGCAAGAACACCAGUGGCGAAGGCGGCCGACUGGUCCGGUUCUGACGCUGAGGCGCGAAAGCGUGGGGAGCAAACAGG